AUCUUAAGAGUGUCUUUUGGUGCAGCGGUGUAAAACUAAUGUUGGAUUGAGAAACAUCCUCUGCUCAAUCCAAAAGGAGCAAAAAGGCUGGUGGCCAAGAUUGUUGAAGUCUGAAGAGAAGCCCGCUCCAUACCUCAAGGUCGAUUGGAACAAAUGGUGUGAUGAAGAUGAUGAGGAAUCUUCGGACUCUGACAAUGAUGUUGAGUACACUGGAGGAGAUGAUGAGAGCAGCGAUGAUGGAGGAAUGCUCUAUCUUCCAGACCUGGAAAAGGCUAGAGGAAAUUAGAAGCAGCUGCUUAAAACUUUCAAAAAGACGCUGAUUGCCGGAGAUGUUUAGGAUUUAGUUUUUAGGAAACAAAAUGUGACUUUCUUGCUGAAGUAUUUAGAUGUAUAGGGAGGGGUGGUUGGAAGACUGAUUUUAAGCCAUGUGUAUACAUUACAACUUGUUUGGAUGGUUGUUACCCAUUGUAUCGUAUUGUAUUGUUAUCCUAAAACAAUGUUUGUUUUGAUUGGUUGUUUAAAAUUGAUUGUAUUGUAUUGUUAAAUACAUUGUUCGGGAACAACCAAAAGCCCCAUUUUAUGAAACAACCGAUUUGGUGUGGU
Molecule: non-coding RNA, 603 nt
Organism: Nicotiana tabacum (common tobacco)
Lineage: Eukaryota; Viridiplantae; Streptophyta; Magnoliopsida; Solanales; Solanaceae
Source: RefSeq, a predicted model, not a curated record